GUUGACUGAAUGUGUGCAGUACGGCCAAUAAACUAGCGAGAGAAACAGAACAGUAGUGUGGCUCAACACAAUCCCUUCCAAAUAUUUUGACGCGCCAACGACCAAGUUUUACGUAGCAGAUCUAUUAUAGGAAGUUGGUGUUUGAUGGACUCCUCCUUGAUGGCUUUGUAAUGACCUGCCAGUGACUGUUGUGACGGCACCAGAUGUGAACUCUUAAGACGAGACCAACACUGGUACAUGUUCAAUCAAAAGCCUGUACAUACACCAGAGAAAUGACCAACUGCUUGACCGAAUAGUGAGCUGACAAGUGGCGAAGAGGAUAAAGUGAAGGAGUGAGAUGGUUAAUGUGAUCUCCCGUGGAGCAGCUGUAGGCGUGAGAUAAAUUUGUCGGAGACGUAAAGAGCAGUGGUGGUGAUGGCAGGAACAGUGGUGGAGAUGAUGGCAGGAGCAGUGGUGAAGA
Long non-coding RNA from Homarus americanus (American lobster), 460 nucleotides. RefSeq lists it as uncharacterized. Lineage: Eukaryota; Metazoa; Arthropoda; Malacostraca; Decapoda; Nephropidae. The transcript is spliced from 3 exons. The record is from RefSeq and is a predicted model, not a curated record.